CCUACGGGAGGCAGCAGUGGGGAAUAUUGGACAAUGGGGGCAAGCCUGAUCCAGCGACGCCGCGUGAGGGAUGAAGGCCCUCGGGUUGUAAACCACUUUAGUAGAGAACGAAAAAGAGCUAUCGAAAAAAUAGCUCUGCUGACGAUAAACAAAGACGAAGCACCGGCUAACCACGUGCCAGCAGCCGCGGUAAUACGUAGGGGGUGUGCGUUAGUCGGAUUUACUGGGGGUAAAGGGUGGGUAGGCGGCUGAGUAAGUCAGAUGUGAAAUCCCCGGGCUCAACCUGGGAACUGCAUAUGAGACUGCUUGGCUAGAGUACAUGAGAGGUAAGUGGAAUUCCUGGUGUAGCAGUGAAAUGCGUAGAUAUGAGGAAGAACACCAGUGGCGAAGGCAGCCUCCUGGGCCGCAACUGACGCUGAUGCUCGAAAGCGUGGGGAGCAAACAGGAUUAGAUACCCCAGUAGUC
Molecule: ribosomal RNA, 465 nt
Filed under: uncultured bacterium
Lineage: Bacteria
Description: partial 16S ribosomal RNA
Rfam family: Bacterial small subunit ribosomal RNA
Source: RNAcentral